UGUGACUAUCUUGACUACUGGGGAGGAGGCACCAUGUUGACGGUAACCAACGCGGCUCCAUCCGCGCCCAGUCCCUUCAUUCUCUUCACCUGCGAGGAUCAAGGCUCCAGUGGUUCGUUCACCUAUGGUUGUUUGGCGUUGGGCUAUUCCCCUGCGGGCGCCAGUGUUUCUUGGAAGAAAGAUGAUAUACAACUGGAGACCGGAGUGAAGGGCUACCCGGCAGUGUUCAAUAAGUUGGGAACUUACACCCGGAGCAGCGAGUUAACCAUCACCGAGGCGGCGGCAGCGGGAGGUGACAUCUUCUGCGUGGUUCAGCACAACCAGAACGAGUAUAAAGUGAAAGUACAACCACCAGACCGCGUGGUACAUCAUCCUACCGUCACCAUUACCAUAACUGCUCUUGAUGAAAUCAAGCGCAGCAGAAAAGCGAUCGCCGUGUGUUUGGUCAACGAUUUCACCCCAGCCAUAUUUACUGUGAACUGGCUGAAGAAUGGAAAGCCAUUGGAUUCUGGCAUCGUCACCUCUCCCGCCUUCCAGGUGAACGAUACCGGUAACUUCUCGGCGACCAGCCAGUUGACAUUCACAGCUGAAGAGUGGUUCGGAGAUUUCGUCUAUACCUGCCAAGUCAACCAUGAAAAAGAUUUGAAAAGCCAAAACAUCAGUAUGCCUUCAGAUGUUGAUUCCUGCGACAAACUGAUUAUUAAAAUCCUUCCACCACAAGUUGAACAAGAGUUAAUGGAGAUGACCGUGACGUUAACCUGUCUGGUAUCCGAUGCACCUUAUGGUAUCACAGUAUCUUGGAAACGUGGGAAUGUACCUUUGGUAUCAUACAUCCAGCCCACAGGAAAUGCAGAUAUCGUACAGAGCAAAGUCAACAUUUCGACUCAAGACUGGCUGAGUGGGGAUUAUUUUUCGAAUGCGCGGUGAGCCAUGGUAAUAUGCCAAAGCCAAAAACUGAACGAAUCAACUGGAAGAAAGGUCAACAUCUGCUGCCACCUUCCGUCUCAGUCCUUCUGCCGCCGACAGAAGAAAUCUCCGCCCACAAGACUAUCACCCUCACCUGCUUCGUGAGAGGAUUCUCCCCUCGCAGGGUCUUCGUCACGUGGACACUUGAUGACAAGCGGGUGGAUGAGAGCAAGUACAAGAACACCGAGGUGGAGGCGGAGAACGGCAAUGAUACCUUCUUCACAUACAGCCUGUUAUCCGUUGGGGCAGAGGAGUGGGCUAGCGGAGCCUCCUUCUCCUGUCUAGUGGGGCACGAAGCACUCCCCAUGAAGACCAUCGUCAGAACGGUCAAUAAGUCCAGCGGUAAACCCAGUUUUGUCAACGUUUCCCUUGUAUUAAUGGACACUGUCAAUUCCUGUCAAUGAGAAUGAAUUAGUUUCAAAUUCCUCUGAAAUAAAUGCUAAUAAAUAUCUUUAACCUCCAA
Leucoraja erinaceus (little skate) is the source of this 1429-nucleotide non-coding RNA. The record is from the annotation of a RefSeq genome assembly. NCBI's taxonomy places the organism in Eukaryota, Metazoa, Chordata, Chondrichthyes, Rajiformes, Rajidae.